RNAcentral lists this ribosomal RNA (497 nucleotides) under uncultured bacterium. Its description in RNAcentral is "partial 16S ribosomal RNA". It matches the Rfam family "Bacterial small subunit ribosomal RNA", at positions 28 to 507 of the family's 1533-position model. The record is from RNAcentral.
GAUGAACGCUGGCGGCGUGCCUAAUACAUGCAAGUCGAGCGAACGGACGAGAAGCUUGCUUCUCUGAUGUUAGCGGCGGACGGGUGAGUAACACGUGGAUAACCUACCUAUAAGACUGGGAUAACUUUGGGAAACCGGAGCUAAUACCGGAUAAUAUUUUGAACCGCAUGGUUCAAAAGUGAAAGACGGUCUUGCUGUCACUUAUAGAUGGAUCCGCGCUGCAUUAGCUGGUUGGUAAGGUAACGGCUUACCAAGGCAACGAUGCAUAGCCGACCUGAAAGGGAGAUCGGCCACACUGGAAGAGAGACACAGUCCACACUCUUACGGGAGGCAGCAGUAGGGAAUCUUCCGCAAUGGGCGAGAGCCGGAUGGAGCAACACCGCGUGAGGGAUGAAGGUCUUCGGAUCGUAAAACUCUGUUAUUAGGGAGGAACAAAUGUGUAAGUGACUGUGAACAUCUUGACGGUACCUAAACAGAAAGCCACGGCUAACUACGUG